Molecule: long non-coding RNA, 587 nt
Organism: Dermacentor albipictus
Lineage: Eukaryota; Metazoa; Arthropoda; Arachnida; Ixodida; Ixodidae
Source: RefSeq, a predicted model, not a curated record
CCGGUUUCCGAAGUGCGCGAGUCACCGUGGAUGCCUACUUUUUUUCGUGGCACCGUGCUUUCCGCUCUCUUUCGCAGCUUUUACUGCGCAGUAGUGUUUUUUUUUUCCCCGUGCGGCCAUGGCGUAAAGCAACGGAGCGUAAUUCGCGUAUUCCGAAGCCACUGUAAUUAGCCACAGUGCGAGUGCGUCCAGUGCACAACGGCCUGUCAGACGACUCGGAACCGAAUAUGAAGUGCGAGUUGUGCAACCACUGUCCAUGCGCUCACGGCCGGCUAUUCGAGCUCGACGACUUUCCUGUCGGCUUUCCAGUCGUCCUACUCAGCCGCCAUCUUGUUUGGACAGGAAACUAGCCUGCAUUGUUAUGGACUUCGAUGCUGUCUUCGCGAAGCUGUCUACUUCGACGUCUUCGUGAGAAUUGGAACGAGACCUAAGAUGGCCGCUGUCCACUGAGCGGUCUUCCUUGCCGUCUACGGAAGACAGCCGAUGGGUGUCAAGAAUAUUGGAAUAGCAAUGGAAACGUUCCGGUGACUGUACCUCAAGGUGAAAGCGUCAAAGAAAAGCAGGACGGGGACAUCCAUGCUGAGGCC